Molecule: ribosomal RNA, 456 nt
Filed under: uncultured bacterium
Lineage: Bacteria
Description: partial 16S ribosomal RNA
Rfam family: Bacterial small subunit ribosomal RNA
Source: RNAcentral
CCUACGGGAGGCAGCAGUGGGGAAUAUUGCACAAUGGGGGGAACCCUGAUGCAGCGACGCCGCGUGGGUGAAGGAGCACCUCGGUGCGUAAAGCCCUAUCGGCAGGGAAGAAAAGCGAACAGGUUCGCCUGGAAGGUACCUGACUAAGAAGCCCCGGCUAACUACGUGCAAGCAGCAGCGGUAAUACGUAGGGGGCAAGCGUUAUCCGGAUUCACUGGGUGUAAAGGGAGCGUAGACGGCGGCGCAAGUCUGGAGUGAAAGCCCGGGGCCCAACCCCGGGACUGCUCUGGAAACUGCGGGGCUGGAGUACGGGAGAGGCAGGCGGAAUUCCUGGUGUAGCGGUGAAAUGCGUAGAUAUCAGGAGGAACACCGGCGGCGAAGGCGGCCUGCUGGACCGUGACUGACGUUGAGGCUCGAGAGCGUGGGGAGCAAACAGGAUUAGAUACCCCGGUAGUC